AUCCUCUCCUUGGCAGCACAGAUGCUAAAAUCAGGAUGGUACAAAGGGAGAUUAGCACGGCCCCUGUGCAAGGGUGACACGCAAAUUUAAGAAGUAUUGCACAUUUUC
Perognathus longimembris pacificus (Pacific pocket mouse) is the source of this 108-nucleotide small nuclear RNA. NCBI's taxonomy places the organism in Eukaryota, Metazoa, Chordata, Mammalia, Rodentia, Heteromyidae. The record is from RefSeq and is a predicted model, not a curated record.